GAUUGCAUGUGUUGAUUUCAAGUGCAUUGAUCUUCAACUCAUUUUCAGGUGAACUGAUUGGGGUCGAGUACCUUUACCAUCAGACUGGCAAAGCAAUCCAGGACAGUAGAUUUAUCAUUAGACAGAUGGAAACCACUGACGUCCAAAUGGCUAAAAAUGAGGGCUGCUGCAAACUAGAGGACAUUGGGGAUUGGACAAUCGCACAUCAACCCAUAGAAGCUUCUCCAUCGAUGACAAGCCGAGGUGCUCCGUUUAAGGGGGAAGAUCUCUUUCCUCCAAUCACAUCCUCACCGGCGACAGGAGUGACGGCUCCAGAGAAGGUUCCUUUCAUAAAAGAAGAGGAUCAUAUGGAGUACAAUUGCGAUGACAAGCCUCUCAUUUCAAACUUGCCUCCAGACACUGUGAUGGAAAACAGCAACACAACACAAGAAGAAGCCUCAACAGAACAACCUGCUCUUGCUCAAGCCCAGUCAGGCUCAACGUUGACUUUGCCAGUUUUGUUUUCCAGCCCUUUUCUGUCAAAACAAAUGAUUGUGGUUUUAACACCUGCACAAAAGAUUGAUGCACCAGCAACAGCGAGCUGCCAUUCGGUUCCUGCUCCUUACACCACACAGUACCACUGGAAGAGAAAACUGGUCAAGGAAAAAGAUGGCAUUUGUACCAGGAAGUAUGUGCGACGAUCAGAGGCUAUCCAGUGCAGAAAGUGCAAUAAAGAGAGAAUAAUGUCAACUCAUCGGCAGUAUUUUGGCAACUGGCAUUGUGAGGAGACCGAAACAAAACCCUUUGCUGUGUGGAAGGCUGAACUGAUAAAGCGGGGUUAUGGAAAGAAGAAGUUCUGAAGGGUUCAGGUGGAAUCAGUAAUAAACAUCCAGCUCUUUUUGUUUUAAUUGUUCCCACUAGUUGUAUGUAUUGAAAUGUUUGAUUUUUGGUGCUUCUAAUCAAAACAUAAUUGCAGCGCUGCAGUCAAAUCAUCCGUGGCAGUGGACCUGAACUGUUUUCUCCAUAUUACUCAACACUUCUGCAAUUCAUAAUUAGUUUCAGGCAAAAAUAUUAUUUUUAUUUAUGCUUAAGGUCUA
Molecule: long non-coding RNA, 1076 nt
Filed under: Sinocyclocheilus grahami
Lineage: Eukaryota; Metazoa; Chordata; Actinopteri; Cypriniformes; Cyprinidae
Description: lncRNA (ENSSGRG00000054089.1)
Source: RNAcentral